Molecule: ribosomal RNA, 301 nt
Filed under: uncultured bacterium
Lineage: Bacteria
Description: partial 16S ribosomal RNA
Rfam family: Bacterial small subunit ribosomal RNA
Source: RNAcentral
CAGUGCCACGGGAAUACGGAGGGUGCAAGCGUUAAUCGGAAUUACUGGGCGUAAAGCGCACGCAGGCGGUCUGACAAGUCAGAUGUGAAAUCCCCGGGCUUAACCUGGGAACUGCAUUUGAAACUGUCAGGCUGGAGUCUUGUAGAGGGGGGUGGAAUUCCAGGUGUAGCGGUGAAAUGCGUAGAGAUCUGGAGGAAUACCGGUGGCGAAGGCGGCCCCCUGGACAAAGACUGACGCUCAGGUGCGAAAGCGUGGGGAGCAAACAGGAUUAGAUACCCGCGUAGUCCCUGUCUCUUAUACC